UACGUAGGGCGCAAGCGUUAUCCGGAAUUAUUGGGCGUAAAGAGCUCGUAGGCGGUUUGUCGCGUCUGCCGUGAAAGUCCGGGGCUCAACUCCGGAUCUGCGGUGGGUACGGGCAGACUAGAGUGAUGUAGGGGAGACUGGAAUUCCUGGUGUAGCGGUGAAAUGCGCAGAUAUCAGGAGGAACACCGAUGGCGAAGGCAGGUCUCUGGGCAUUAACUGACGCUGAGACGCGAAGGCCAGGGUAGCGAACGGG
This 253-nucleotide ribosomal RNA is filed under the name uncultured bacterium. RNAcentral describes it as "partial 16S ribosomal RNA". It matches the Rfam family "Bacterial small subunit ribosomal RNA", at positions 524 to 776 of the family's 1533-position model. The record is from RNAcentral.